UAGCUGGCCUUCACGGGCAUGUGCACACCUCACUCAUCCACUCUACACCUGUGCACUUACUGUGGGUUUCGAGAGGCCGCGCUUGCGUGGUUGAUCGGGCUCACGUCUAUUACAAACUCUUCAGUAUCAGAAUGUGUAUCGCGAUGUAACGCAUCUAUAUACAACUUUCAGCAACGGAUCUCUUGGCUCUCGCAUCGAUGAAGAACGCAGCGAAAUGCGAUAAGUAAUGUGAAUUGCAGAAUUCAGUGAAUCAUCGAAUCUUUGAACGCACCUUGCGCUCCUUGGUAUUCCGAGGAGCAUGCCUGUUUGAGUGUCGUGUAAUUCUCAACCUAUAAAUCCUUGUGGUUUUUAGGCUUGGACUUGGAGGCUUUUGCUGGCUUUACCGUCGGCUCCUCUUAAACGCAUUAGCUUGAUUCCUUGCGGAUCGGCUCUCAGUGUGAUAAUUAUCUGCGCUGUGACCGUGAAGCGUUUGGCGAGCUUCUAACCGUCUCUUCGAGACAAACACUUUGACAUCUGACCUCAAAUCAGGUAGGACUACCCGCUGAACUUAAGCAUAUCAAUAAGCGG
This 567-nucleotide ribosomal RNA is filed under the name Amauroderma sp. BRFM 1117. RNAcentral's name for it is "eukaryotic LSU rRNA". The stretch from base 163 to 316 matches the Rfam family "5.8S ribosomal RNA". The record is from RNAcentral. Lineage: Eukaryota; Fungi; Basidiomycota; Agaricomycetes; Polyporales; Polyporaceae.